Molecule: long non-coding RNA, 402 nt
Organism: Salarias fasciatus (jewelled blenny)
Lineage: Eukaryota; Metazoa; Chordata; Actinopteri; Blenniiformes; Blenniidae
Exons: 3
Source: RefSeq, a predicted model, not a curated record
GGAGGAGGCCCUCUCCUGGCUUGUAAUAAUUAACCAAUCCCGCCAGGGGUAGCUGUGUAUAAAAGAGGGCCAUUCUCACUGGUGCAGCCUCUGCCGCUGAGUCUGGAGUAGACCCCGCCCCUGGGCUUUCUCACUUCCUGGUGUGAGCCGUGCGAGCUGUGCUUACCUGUUGGGCUGCGUUUGGGGAUCAAUUCCCCCUUCAUCUGGGUGUCAACUUGCUGCUAGAUGAGUGGCUGUAGGGAGGUCGCAGACUCCCCACCUCUUCUACUGGGCGUGUCAGUUAAAUGUUUGUUUGCCAGGAGCGGCUAAUCUGCCGUGGAGCCCGCCAGCUGUUUUGUCCUUCCGUGUGGCUUCGAAGUCCAGUGUUGGCACCCAUAAAUACGCCUGGACGGCCUCUGCUCC